Molecule: ribosomal RNA, 491 nt
Filed under: uncultured bacterium
Lineage: Bacteria
Description: partial 16S ribosomal RNA
Rfam family: Bacterial small subunit ribosomal RNA
Source: RNAcentral
AGUGAACGCUGGCGGUAGGCCUAACACAUGCAAGUCGAACGGCAGCACAGUAAGAGCUUGCUCUUACGGGUGGCGAGUGGCGGACGGGUGAGGAAUACAUCGGAAUCUACUUUUUCGUGGGGGAUAACGUAGGGAAACUUACGCUAAUACCGCAUACGACCUACGGGUGAAAGCAGGGGAUCUUCGGACCUUGCGCGAUUGAAUGAGCCGAUGUCGGAUUAGCUAGUUGGCGGGGUAAAGGCCCACCAAGGCGACGAUCCGUAGCUGGUCUGCGAGGAUGAUCAGCAACACUGAACUGAGACACGGUCCAGACUCCUACGGGAGGCAGCAGUGGGGAAUAUUGGAUAAUGGGCGCAAGCCUGAUCCAGCCAUACCGCGUGGGUGAAGAAGGCCUUCGGGUUGUAAAGCCCUUUUGUUGGGAAAGAAAAGCAGCAGGUUAAUACCCCGCUGUUCUGACGGUACCCAAAGAAUAAGCACCGGCUAACUUCGUG